CCUACGGGUGGCAGCAGUGAGGAAUAUUGGUCAAUGGGCGUAAGCCUGAACCAGCCAAGUCGCGUGAGGGAUGAAGGUUCUAUGGAUCGUAAACCUCUUUUAUAAGGGAAUAAAGUGUGGGACGUGUCCUGUUUUGUAUGUACCUUAUGAAUAAGGCUCGGCUAACUCCGUGCCAGCAGCCGCGGUAAUACGGAGGAUCCGAGCGUUAUCCGGAUUUAUUGGGUUUAAUGGGUGCGUAGGCGGCCUUUUAAGUCAGCGGUGAAAGUCUGUGGCUCAACCAUUGAACUGCCGUUGAAACUGGGAGUCUUGAGUAUGUUUGAGGCAGGCGGAAUGCGUAGUGUAGCGGUGAAAUGCGUAGAUAUCACGCAGAACCCCGAUGGCGAAGGCAGCCUGCCAAGCCAUGACUGACGCUGAUGCACGAAAGCGUGGGGAUCAAACAGGAUUAGAUACCCUUGUAGUC
Molecule: ribosomal RNA, 460 nt
Filed under: uncultured bacterium
Lineage: Bacteria
Description: partial 16S ribosomal RNA
Rfam family: Bacterial small subunit ribosomal RNA
Source: RNAcentral